GGGUGUGAUCAUACCAGCACUAAUGCACCGGAUCCCAUCAGAACUCCGAAGUUAAACGUGCUUGGGCGAGAGGAGUACUAAAAUGGGUGACCUCUUGGGAAGUCCUCGUGUUGCACCCC
This 119-nucleotide ribosomal RNA is filed under the name Ricinus communis (castor bean). The record is from RNAcentral. Lineage: Eukaryota; Viridiplantae; Streptophyta; Magnoliopsida; Malpighiales; Euphorbiaceae.